This 440-nucleotide ribosomal RNA is filed under the name uncultured bacterium. RNAcentral describes it as "partial 16S ribosomal RNA". It matches the Rfam family "Bacterial small subunit ribosomal RNA", at positions 338 to 795 of the family's 1533-position model. The record is from RNAcentral.
CCUACGGGUGGCAGCAGUAGGGAAUAUUGCUCAAUGGGGGAAACCCUGAAGCAGCAACGCCGCGUGGAGGAUGAAGGUUUUAGGAUUCUAAACUCCCUUUGUUAGAGAAGAUUAUGACGGUAUCUAACGAAUAAGCACCGGCUAACUCCGUGCCAGCAGCCGCGGGAAGACGGAGGGUGCCAGCGUUAUUCGGAAUCACUGGGCGUAAAGAGUGCGUAGGCGGGGUAAUAAGUCAGAUGUGAAAUCCUGUGGCUUAACUACAGAACUGCAGUUGAAACUGUUACUCUGGAGUGUGGGAGAGGUAGGUGGAAUGCUUGGUGUAGGGGUAAAAUCCGUAGAGAUCAAGAGGAAUACUCAUUGCGAAGGCGACCUGCUGGAACAUUACUGACGCUGAUGCACGAAAGCGUGGGGAGCAAACAGGAUUAGAUACCCUAGUAGUC